This 74-nucleotide transfer RNA is filed under the name Actinomyces sp. RNAcentral's name for it is "tRNA-Pro(tgg)". It matches the Rfam family "tRNA". Rfam says of the family: Transfer RNA (tRNA) molecules are approximately 80 nucleotides in length. Their secondary structure includes four short double-helical elements and three loops (D, anti-codon, and T loops). RNAcentral also lists the same sequence under 1 other name. The record is from RNAcentral. Lineage: Bacteria; Bacillati; Actinomycetota; Actinomycetes; Actinomycetales; Actinomycetaceae.
CGGGGUGUGGCGCAGCUUGGUAGCGCGCCUGCUUUGGGAGCAGGAGAUCGUGGGUUCAAAUCCCGCCACCCCGA